UACGUAGGGUGCAAGCGUUGUCCGGAAUUAUUGGGCGUAAAGAGCUUGUAGGCGGUUUGUCGCGUCUGCUGUGAAAUUUCGGGGCUCAACCCCGAACUUGCAGUGGGUACGGGCAGACUAGAGUGUGGUAGGGGAGACUGGAAUUCCAGGUGUAGCGGUGAAAUGCGUAGAUAUCUGGAGGAACACCGGUGGCGAAGGCGGCAUCCUGGACCGGCAUUGACGCUGAGGCGCGAAAGCCAGGGGAGCAAACGGG
Molecule: ribosomal RNA, 253 nt
Filed under: uncultured bacterium
Lineage: Bacteria
Description: partial 16S ribosomal RNA
Rfam family: Bacterial small subunit ribosomal RNA
Source: RNAcentral